AUUGAACGCUGGCGGCAUGCCUUACACAUGCAAGUCGAACGGCAGCACGGGUGCUUGCACCUGGUGGCGAGUGGCGAACGGGUGCGUAAUACAUCGGAACAUGUCCUGUAGUGGGGGAUAGGCCGGCGAAAGCCGGAUUAAUACUGCAUACGAAUACCGGAUGAAAGCGGGGGCCCUUCGGGCCUCGCGCUUUAGGGUUGGCCGAUGGCGGAUUAGCUAGUUGGUGGGGUAAAGGCCCACCAAGGCGACGACCAGGAGCCGGUCGGAGAGGACGACGAGGCACACUGGAAAUGAGACAAGGUACAGACUCAGACGGGAGGCAGCAGUGGGGAAUAGUGGGAGAUGGGCGAAAGACUGAUCCAGCAAUAACGCGUGGGUGAAGAAGGCCUUCGGGGUGUAAAGCCCUUUUGUUGGGAAAGAAAAGCAGCAGGUUAAUACCGCGAUGUUCUGACGGUACCUAAAGAAUAAGCAACGGCUAACUUCGUG
Molecule: ribosomal RNA, 486 nt
Filed under: uncultured bacterium
Lineage: Bacteria
Description: partial 16S ribosomal RNA
Rfam family: Bacterial small subunit ribosomal RNA
Source: RNAcentral